Molecule: non-coding RNA, 29 nt
Filed under: Mus musculus (house mouse)
Lineage: Eukaryota; Metazoa; Chordata; Mammalia; Rodentia; Muridae
Source: RNAcentral
UAGUUAGCAAUAGAAUUCUCCAAAUUGCU